This 492-nucleotide ribosomal RNA is filed under the name uncultured bacterium. Its description in RNAcentral is "partial 16S ribosomal RNA". It matches the Rfam family "Bacterial small subunit ribosomal RNA", at positions 29 to 507 of the family's 1533-position model. The record is from RNAcentral.
AGUGAACGCUGGCGGUAGGCCUAACACAUGCAAGUCGAACGGCAGCACAGUAAGAGCUUGCUCUUACGGGUGGCGAGUGGCGGACGGGUGAGGAAUACAUCGGAAUCUACUUUUUCGUGGGGGAUAACGUAGGGAAACUUACGCUAAUACCGCAUACGACCUACGGGUGAAAGCAGGGGAUCUUCGGACCUUGCGCGAUUGAAUGAGCCGAUGUCGGAUUAGCUAGUUGGCGGGGUAAAGGCCCACCAAGGCGACGAUCCGUAGCUGGUCUGAGAGGAUGAUCAGCCACACUGGAACUGAGACACGGUCCAGACUACUACGGGAGGCAGCAGUGGGCAAUAUUGGACAAUGGGCGCAAGCCUGAUCCAGCCAUACCGCGUGGGUGAAGAAGGCCUUCGGGUUGUAAAGCCCUUUUGUUGGGAAAGAAAAGCAGCAGGUUAAUACCCCGCUGUUCUGACGGUACCCAAAGAAUAAGCACCGGCUAACUUCGUG